GCCAAUUUAGCUCAGCUGGUAGAGCAACGCAUUCGUAAUGCGUAGGUCUGGGGUUCGAGUCCCCAAAUUGGCUCGA
Molecule: transfer RNA, 76 nt
Filed under: Butyricimonas faecalis
Lineage: Bacteria; Pseudomonadati; Bacteroidota; Bacteroidia; Bacteroidales; Odoribacteraceae
Description: tRNA-Thr
Rfam family: tRNA
About the family: Transfer RNA (tRNA) molecules are approximately 80 nucleotides in length.
Source: RNAcentral